GAAGGGAAANCCGUUAAGCCCNCUGCCUGGGGAGUACGNCCGCAAGGCUGAAACUUAAAGGAAUUGGCGGGGGAGCACUACAAGGGGUGGAGCGUNCGNUUUAAUUNGAUUCAACGCCGGGAACCUCACCGGGGGCGACGCCGGGGUGAAGCCCAGGCUGAAGGUCUUGCCGGACACGCCGAGAGGAGGUGCAUGGCCGCCGUCAGCUCGUACCGUGAGGCGUCCACUUAAGUGUGGUAACGAGCGAGACCCGCGCCCCCAGUUGCCAGUCCUCCCCGCUGGGGAGGAGGCACUCUGGGGGGACCGCCGGCGAUAAGCCGGAGGAAGGAGCGGGCGACGGUAGGUCAGUAUGCCCCGAAACCCCCGGGCUACCCGCGCGCUACAAUGGGCGGGACAAUGGGAUCCGACCCCGAAAGGGGAAGGGAAUCCCCUAAACCCGCCCCCAGUUCGGAUCGCGGGCUGCAACUCGNCCGCGUGAAGCUGGAAUUCCCUAGUACCAGGCNUUUCANCUUCGCGCGGCGAANAUNGCCUU
RNAcentral lists this ribosomal RNA (532 nucleotides) under uncultured archaeon. Its description in RNAcentral is "partial 16S ribosomal RNA". It matches the Rfam family "Archaeal small subunit ribosomal RNA", at positions 803 to 1331 of the family's 1478-position model. The record is from RNAcentral.